AUACGUAGGGGGCGAGCGUUGUCCGGAAUGAUUGGGCGUAAAGGGCGCGUAGGCGGCUUUGCAAGUCAGUAGUGGAAGUCCAUUUUUCAAGGAUGGAAGUGCUACAGAAACUGCGGAGCUUGAGUGCAGGAGAGGUUAUCGGAAUUCCCGGUGUAGCGGUGAAAUGCGAAGAGAUCGGGAGGAACACCAGUGGCGAAGGCGGGUAACUGGACUGCAACUGACGCUGAGGCGCGAAAGUGUGGGGAGCAAACAGGAUUAGAUACCCUGGUAGUCCACACUGUAAACGAUGAAUGCUAGGUGUAGGAGGUAUCGACCCCUUCUGUGCCGCAGUAAACACAGUAAGCAUUCCGCCUGGGGAGUACGGUCGCAAGAUUAAAACUCAAAGGAAUUGACGGGG
RNAcentral lists this ribosomal RNA (397 nucleotides) under uncultured bacterium. RNAcentral's name for it is "partial 16S ribosomal RNA". It matches the Rfam family "Bacterial small subunit ribosomal RNA", at positions 523 to 918 of the family's 1533-position model. The record is from RNAcentral.